Molecule: ribosomal RNA, 783 nt
Filed under: Sarcocystis sp.
Lineage: Eukaryota; Apicomplexa; Conoidasida; Eucoccidiorida; Sarcocystidae
Description: SSU rRNA
Rfam family: Eukaryotic small subunit ribosomal RNA
Source: RNAcentral
GCUAAUACAUGCGCACAUACCUCUUCCCUCGUGGAAGGGUAGUGUUUAUUAGAUACAGAACCAACCCACCUUCGGGUGGUCCUUAGGUGAUUCAUAGUAACCGAACGGAUCGCAUUAUGACCUUCGGGUCGGCGAUGGAUCAUUCAAGUUUCUGACCUAUCAGCUUUCGACGGUACUGUAUUGGACUACCGUGGCAGUGACGGGUAACGGGGAAUUAGGGUUCGAUUCCGGAGAGGGAGCCUGAGAAACGGCUACCACAUCUAAGGAAGGCAGCAGGCGCGCAAAUUACCCAAUCCUGACUCAGGGAGGUAGUGACAAGAAAUAACAACACUGGAAAUUCUUUUUCUAGUGAUUGGAAUGAUGGGAAUCCAAACCCCUUUCAGAGUAACAAUUGGAGGGCAAGUCUGGUGCCAGCAGCCGCGGUAAUUCCAGCUCCAAUAGCGUAUAUUAAAGUUGUUGCAGUUAAAAAGCUCGUAGUUGGAUAUCUGCUGGAAGCAGCCAGUCCGCCCUUUGUGGGUGUGCACUUGGUGAAUUCUGGCAUCCUCCUGAUUGGUGUCAUCAUCACUUCAUUGUGUUGGUGGCAGCUGUCAGGACCGUUACUUUGAGAAAAUUAGAGUGUUUCAAGCAGGCUUGUUGCCUUGAAUACUGCAGCAUGGAAUAACAAGAUAGGAUUUCGGUUCUAUUUUGUUGGUUUCUAGGACUGAAGUAAUGAUUAAUAGGGACAGUUGGGGGCAUUCGUAUUUAACUGUCAGAGGUGAAAUUCUUAGAUUUGUUAAAGACGAA